CACGGAGUUAGCCGGUGCUUAUUCGUAUAGUACCUUCAGCUUUCCUCACGAGGAAAGGUUUAUCCCUAUACAAAAGAAGUUUACAACCCAUAGGGCCGUCGUCCUUCACGCGGGAUGGCUGGAUCAGGCGCUAACCCAUUGUCCAAUAUUCCUCACUGCUGCCUCCCGUAGGAGUCUGGUCCGUGUCUCAGUACCAGUGUGGGGGAUCACCCUCUCAGGCCCCCUAAAGAUCAUCGACUUGGUGAGCCGUUACCUCACCAACUAUCUAAUCUUGCGCGUGCCCAUCUCUAUCCACCGGAGUUUUCAAUAAUCAAUGAUGCCAUCAAUUAUAUUAUGGGGUAUUAAUCUUCCUUUCGAAAGGCUAUCCCCCUGAUAAAGGCAGGUUGCACACGUGUUCCGCACCCGUACGCCGCUCUCUCUGUCCCGAAAGACAAAUACCGCUCGGCUUGCAUGUGUUAGGCCUCCCGCUAGCGUUCAUCCUGAGCCAGGAUCAAACUCU
RNAcentral lists this ribosomal RNA (499 nucleotides) under uncultured Chryseobacterium sp. RNAcentral's name for it is "partial 16S ribosomal RNA". Lineage: Bacteria; Pseudomonadati; Bacteroidota; Flavobacteriia; Flavobacteriales; Weeksellaceae. The record is from RNAcentral.